RNAcentral lists this ribosomal RNA (253 nucleotides) under uncultured bacterium. RNAcentral describes it as "partial 16S ribosomal RNA". It matches the Rfam family "Bacterial small subunit ribosomal RNA", at positions 524 to 776 of the family's 1533-position model. The record is from RNAcentral.
GACAGAGGGUGCAAACGUUGUUCGGAAUUACUGGGCGUAAAGCGCGUGUAGGCGGCCCUGCAAGUCGGGUGUGAAAUCCCACGGCUCAACCGUGGAAGUGCAUUCGAAACUGCAGGGCUAGAGUCCUGGAGAGGAAGGUGGAAUGCUUGGUGUAGAGGUGAAAUUCGUAGAUAUCAAGCGGAACACCGGUGGCGAAGGCGGCCUUCUGGACAGUGACUGACGCUGGGACGCGAAAGCGUGGGGAGCAAACAGG